GUAGCACCUUAGAGACCAACUAAGUUUGUUUUUGGUAUAAGCUGCACACGAAAACUUAUACCAAGAACAAACUUAGUUGGUCUCUAAGGUGCUAC
This 95-nucleotide microRNA precursor is filed under the name Podarcis lilfordi (Lilford's wall lizard). The record is from RNAcentral. Lineage: Eukaryota; Metazoa; Chordata; Lepidosauria; Squamata; Lacertidae.